CAUAUCGUUUCAUACGGGAGGCAGCAGUGGGGAAUAUUGCACAAUGGAGGAAACUCUGAUGCACCAACGCCGCGUGGAGGAUGACCCAUUUCGGUGUGUAAACUCCUUUUAUAGGGGAAGAUAAUGACGGUACCCUAUGAAUAAGCACCGGCUAACUCCGUGCCAACACCCCCGGUAGUACCGAGGGUGCAGGCGUUACUCGGAAUCACUGGGCGUAAAGGAUGCGUAUGCUGGAAAUCAAGUCGAAAGUGAAAUCCAACGGCUCAACCGUUGAACUGCUUUCGAAACUGGUUACCUACAAUAUGGGAGAGGUAGAUGGAAUUAGUGGUGUAGGGGUAAAAUCCGUUGAUAUCACUAGGAAUACCGAUUGCAAAUGCGAUCUACUGGAACAUUAUUGACGCUGAGCAUGAAAAGCGUGGGGAGCAAACAGGAUUAGAUACCCUGGGUAGUCCACGCCCCUAAACGAUGCACACUAGUUGUUGCGAUGCUAGUCAUUGCAGUAAUGCACUUAACAGAUUAAGUGUGCCGCCUGGGGAGUACGGUCGCAAGAUUAAAACUCAAAGGAAUAGACGGGGACCCGCACAAGCGGUGGAGCAUGUGGUUUAAUUCGAAGAUACACGAAGAACCUUACCUGGGCUUGAUAUCCUAAGAAUCCUGUAGAGAUACGGGAGUGCUAGUUUACUAGAACUUAGAGACAGGUGCUGCACGGCUGUCGUCAGCUCGUGUCGUGAGAUGUUGCGUUAAGUCCCGCAACGAGCGCAACCCUCGUGAUUAGUUGCUAACAGUUCGGCUGAGCACUCUAGUCAGACUGCCUCGUAAGGAGGAGGAAGGUGAGGACGACGUCAAGUCAUCAUGGCCCUUAUUCCCAGGGCUACACAAAGUGCUACAAUGGCUAGGACAAAGAGACGCGAUACUGCGAAGUGAG
Molecule: ribosomal RNA, 925 nt
Filed under: uncultured Sulfurospirillum sp.
Lineage: Bacteria; Pseudomonadati; Campylobacterota; Epsilonproteobacteria; Campylobacterales; Sulfurospirillaceae
Description: bacterial SSU rRNA
Rfam family: Bacterial small subunit ribosomal RNA
Source: RNAcentral